AGCGAACGCUGGCGGCAGGCCUAACACAUGCAAGUCGAACGAACCUUUCGGGGUUAGUGGCGGACGGGUGAGUAACACGUGGGAACGUGCCUUUAGGUUCGGAAUAACUCAGGGAAACUUGUGCUAAUACCGAAUGUGCCCUUCGGGGGAAAGAUUUAUCGCCUUUAGAGCGGCCCGCGUCUGAUUAGCUAGUUGGUUGAGGUAAUGGCUCACCAAGGCGACGAUCAGUAGCUGGUCUGAGAGGAUGAUCAGCCACAUUGGGACUGAGACACGGCCCAAACUCCUACGGGAAGCAGCAGUGGGGAAUCUUGCGCAAGGGGCGAAAGCCUGACGCAGCCAUGCCGCGUGAAUGAUGAAGGUCUUAGGAUUGUAAAAUUCUUUCACCGGGGACGAUAAUGACGGUACCCGGAGAAGAAGCCCCGGCUAACUUCGUG
This 434-nucleotide ribosomal RNA is filed under the name uncultured bacterium. RNAcentral's name for it is "partial 16S ribosomal RNA". It matches the Rfam family "Bacterial small subunit ribosomal RNA", at positions 29 to 507 of the family's 1533-position model. The record is from RNAcentral.